Molecule: ribosomal RNA, 253 nt
Filed under: Staphylococcus aureus
Lineage: Bacteria; Bacillati; Bacillota; Bacilli; Caryophanales; Staphylococcaceae
Description: partial 16S ribosomal RNA
Rfam family: Bacterial small subunit ribosomal RNA
Source: RNAcentral
AAAAGUGAAAGACGGUCUUGCUGUCACUUAUAGAUGGAUCCGCGCUGCAUUAGCUAGUUGGUAAGGUAACGGCUUACCAAGGCAACGAUGCAUAGCCGACCUGAGAGGGUGAUCGGCCACACUGGAACUGAGACACGGUCCAGACUCCUACGGGAGGCAGCAGUAGGGAAUCUUCCGCAAUGGGCGAAAGCCUGACGGAGCAACGCCGCGUGAGUGAUGAAGGUCUUCGGAUCGUAAAACUCUGUUAUUAGGG